This 269-nucleotide ribosomal RNA is filed under the name uncultured soil bacterium. Its description in RNAcentral is "partial 16S ribosomal RNA". It matches the Rfam family "Bacterial small subunit ribosomal RNA", at positions 27 to 308 of the family's 1533-position model. The record is from RNAcentral.
GAUUGAACGCUGGCGGCAUGCCUAACACAUGCAAGUCGAACGGGAGUAGCAAUACUCUAGUGGCGGACGGGUGAGGAAUACGUAGGAAUUUGCCCUUAAGUGGGGGAUAACCCGGGGAAACCCGGAUUAAUACCGCAUGACCUCGAAAGAGCAAAGUGGGGGAUCGCAAGACCUCACGCUUUUGGAGAAGCCUACGUCGGAUUAGCUAGUUGGUGAGGUAAUGGCUCACCAAGGCGACGAUCCGUAACUGGUCUGAGAGGAUGAUCAGU